AUGGCCAUAUCACAUUGAAACACCAGUUCUCAUCUGAUCACUGAAGUUAAGCAGCAUUGAACCAAUUCAGUACCUAGAUGGGUGACCACUCAGGAAA
Acanthosepion pharaonis is the source of this 97-nucleotide non-coding RNA. The record is from the annotation of a GenBank genome assembly. NCBI's taxonomy places the organism in Eukaryota, Metazoa, Mollusca, Cephalopoda, Sepiida, Sepiidae.